RNAcentral lists this ribosomal RNA (929 nucleotides) under Aeromicrobium yanjiei. RNAcentral's name for it is "bacterial SSU rRNA". It matches the Rfam family "Bacterial small subunit ribosomal RNA", at positions 56 to 998 of the family's 1533-position model. Lineage: Bacteria; Bacillati; Actinomycetota; Actinomycetes; Propionibacteriales; Nocardioidaceae. The record is from RNAcentral.
UGCAAGUCGAGCGGUAAGGCCCCUUCGGGGGUACACGAGCGGCGAACGGGUGAGUAACACGUGAGCAAUCUGCCCUUCUCUUUGGAAUAACCAUUGGAAACGAUGGCUAAUGCCGAAUAUGACCUCCUUUCGCAUGUUUGGAGGUGGAAAGCUCCGGCGGAGAAGGAUGAGCUCGCGGCCUAUCAGCUUGUUGGUGAGGUAAUGGCUCACCAAGGCAUUGACGGGUAGCCGGCCUGAGAGGGUGACCGGCCACACUGGGACUGAGACACGGCCCAGACUCCUACGGGAGGCAGCAGUGGGGAAUAUUGGACAAUGGGCGAAAGCCUGAUCCAGCAACGCCGCGUGAGGGAUGACGGCCUUCGGGUUGUAAACCUCUUUCAGCAGGGACGAAGCGAAAGUGACGGUACCUGCAGAAGAAGGACCGGCCAACUACGUGCCAGCAGCCGCGGUAAUACGUAGGGUCCGAGCGUUGUCCGGAAUUAUUGGGCGUAAAGGGCUCGUAGGCGGUUUGUCGCGUCGGGAGUGAAAACUCAGGGCUCAACCCUGAGCGUGCUUCCGAUACGGGCAGACUAGAGGUAUUCAGGGGAGAACGGAAUUCCUGGUGUAGCGGUGGAAUGCGCAGAUAUCAGGAGGAACACCGGUGGCGAAGGCGGUUCUCUGGGAAUUACCUGACGCUGAGGAGCGAAAGCAUGGGGAGCGAACAGGAUUAGAUACCCUGGUAGUCCAUGCCGUAAACGUUGGGCGCUAGGUGUGGGGACCUUCCACGGUUUCCGUGCCGCAGCUAACGCAUUAAGCGCCCCGCCUGGGGAGUACGGCCGCAAGGCUAAAACUCAAAGGAAUUGACGGGGGCCCGCACAAGCGGCGGAGCAUGCUGAUUAAUUCGAUGCAACGCGUAGAACCUUACCUGGGUUUGACAUAUGCCGGAAAGC